GGAUUAGAUACCCUGGUAGUCCACGCUGUAAACGAUGGUCACUCGAUAUAGGUAUCUUCGGAAACCUGUGUCUUAGCGAAAGCAUUAAGUGACCCACCUGGGGAGUACGUUCGCAAGAAUGAAACUUAAAGGAAUUGACGGGGGCCCGCACAAGCGGUGGAGCAUGUGGUUUAAUUCGAAGCAACGCGAAGAACCUUACCCAGACUUGACAUCUUAGUGAAAGCUUCUGGAAACAGUUGCCUCUCUUCGGAGCACUAUGACAGGUGCUGCAUGGUUGUCGUCAGCUCGUGCCG
Molecule: ribosomal RNA, 293 nt
Filed under: uncultured bacterium
Lineage: Bacteria
Description: partial 16S ribosomal RNA
Rfam family: Bacterial small subunit ribosomal RNA
Source: RNAcentral